Molecule: ribosomal RNA, 468 nt
Filed under: uncultured bacterium
Lineage: Bacteria
Description: partial 16S ribosomal RNA
Rfam family: Bacterial small subunit ribosomal RNA
Source: RNAcentral
GACGAACGCUGGCGGCGUGCUUAACACAUGCAAGUCGAACGGAAAGGCCCUGCUUUUGUGGGGUGCUCGAGUGGCGAACGGGUGAGUAACACGUGAGUAACCUGCCCUUGACUUUGGGAUAACUUCAGGAAACUGGGGCUAAUACCGGAUAGGAGCUCCUGCUGCAUGGUGGGGGUUGGAAAGUUUCGGCGGUUGGGGAUGGACUCGCGGCUUAUCAGCUUGUUGGUGGGGUAGUGGCUUACCAAGGCUUUGACGGGUAGCCGGCCUGAGAGGGUGACCGGCCACAUUGGGACUGAGAUACGGCCCAGACUCCUACGGGAGGCAGCAGUGGGGAAUAUUGCACAAUGGGCGGAAGCCUGAUGCAGCAACGCCGCGUGCGGGAUGGUGGCCUUCGGGUUGUAAACCGCUUUCGCCUGUGACGAAGCGUGAGUGACGGUAAUGGGUAAAGAAGCACCGGCUAACUACGUG